Molecule: non-coding RNA, 317 nt
Organism: Bactrocera oleae (olive fruit fly)
Lineage: Eukaryota; Metazoa; Arthropoda; Insecta; Diptera; Tephritidae
Source: RefSeq, a predicted model, not a curated record
UAUUACGUUCAUGACAGUUAAAAUGUCGUAAAUUUGUUUACUUUUAUUAUAGAGUAUACUCAACUUGGCAGUUAUACAAGCUCAAAAUGCCAGCUCAACCUUUUACACUGCGAACGGGACAGCGAGUUUGUUACCGAAUUAGUGUAGGAGAUGGUGUACAUAAUAAUAAGAAAAUAUUGUACAUUCGAAUGAGUGUAUGUUCAUUGAGUUGCUGUAAACUUGGCAAAAGGUGUGUGCCUCUCAGAGGUCGGACAUUUUGAGAGAAUCAUCCGUUCUUUGAACUUGUUUAAAAUAUAUGUUAUUUGGCGAGCUCAUUU